UCUCCUGUAGCUCAGUGGUAGGGCGUCCGACCGGUGUGCGGAACUCAUAGGUUCGACUCCUGUUGGGAGAA
RNAcentral lists this transfer RNA (71 nucleotides) under Desmophyllum pertusum. Its description in RNAcentral is "Lophelia pertusa tRNA". It matches the Rfam family "tRNA". From Rfam's summary of the family: Transfer RNA (tRNA) molecules are approximately 80 nucleotides in length. Their secondary structure includes four short double-helical elements and three loops (D, anti-codon, and T loops). Further hydrogen bonds mediate the characteristic L-shaped molecular structure. tRNAs have two regions of fundamental functional importance: the anti-codon, which is responsible for specific mRNA codon recognition, and the 3' end, to which the tRNAs corresponding amino acid is attached (by aminoacyl-tRNA synthetases). tRNAs cope with the degeneracy of the genetic code in two manners: having more than one tRNA (with a specific anti-codon) for a particular amino acid; and 'wobble' base-pairing, i.e. permitting non-standard base-pairing at the 3rd anti-codon position. The record is from Rfam by way of RNAcentral. Lineage: Eukaryota; Metazoa; Cnidaria; Anthozoa; Scleractinia; Caryophylliidae.